CCCAACCAGCGUGUUUGCUGUUCAUAACUCUCUCCACAUAAGGUAACAGCACCCAAAAUCCGACAAAUCCUCUUAGAACAUUGAACACUCUUUAGUACUAACUGCAAGUAAUGCUAAAAUUCAUAGACGUUGCAUACACUCCGGGUUUUAAGAGAGUAGGCUAUUAAUGACAUUGGACCAAACCAUUCCACAUGACGCGUGCAUGUUGUGCAAAUGCGUCACAACAGUGCAACAUGCAUGGCCAUCUGUGGCCACACAAAAGCCAAACAGACUAUUAUCCCGGCUUUGCUGCCUUUUUUGUUUCUCAAUCCUUUCAUUUCCUUCCAAACAUUGCAAGUUUCAGAGAGAUCUAUGGCUAUCACUCAGAGAUAAAUCUCAUAUUAAUUGAGGGGUACAAGAAUCUCAAGGUUUGAAAUGGAACUCAAAGCUAUAUUUAAAGUCUCUUCUAUUUGAUUUUCAUAUUUGAAGAAAAAUGUCAUUUUCAUCACAGAAAUAAAAAUUCCUAAAACGGGUCUAGUUCUUCACAGUAUUUGUGAGAUUCUUUUGCAGGAUUCAAGUUUCAGACCUCUAGCUCAUUCAUCCUAGAAAUCCCAGGUAAAUCUGAUCAAAUUCACGAUUAUAUGCAUGCAUCCUCCUUAAAAGAUAAAAGUAUAUUUUAUGGUCUUGUUUGUAAUUAUUUUCUGCUCAUGCAACUCACCUAGUUGAAAAAUCUAGCUACGAAGUCAUGUGAUUGUUCAACAAGUAUCUUUGCACUAAUUCCCUCUAUCCCAACAAAGCAGCCAAUUUUCAGAAGUAGGGUUAUGCCAUGGUUCGAAUUGAUUUAGUUUGGUUCUUCUUUAGCAGUAAUUUUCAGACCAAACUGAAAAAUCCUCCUAAAACAUAAAUGAUCAAAAUUAAAUCCACGAUUUGGCAUGUACGUAAUAAAGACAUCAAGACAUCGUUUGGGCCUUAUAAUUCUUUUAAACAAGACCUCUGCAUUCUUCGGGACCCAUUUGUAAAAAAGGUCUCCAGGUCCAAAUGUAAUCAAAGUGUGGCCACUUAGACGUAGCUAGCAAAAAAUUUUAUGAGAUGCCAACCAAGAAUGUUAUCUGUUGGACAAGCACAAUUUCUGGGUACAUGAACUGCGGUCAGCUUGAUGAAGCCAGAGGGUUAUUCAAUACAAGUCCAGCCAAGGAUAUUGUCCUGUGGAUGGCUAUGGCCACCACAAUAGUUUUAAUUCUUAUAAGGAAUAGAACACUUUUAGCUUAAAAGUAAAGCAAGUGUAUAAGACUACAAAUUGACAAUGUGAAAGUAGUUUCUAUACAAUAGCAAUUCCUAAAAUUUUCUCGUAAACAGAAGAAAUGUUUGAGAAAAGAUAAUCUCAUUGGUUUUGGUGGGCAAACCUGAACUCAACAGAAAAUUCAAGUUGAACCCUUUUCAUCCCAAACCAAAGAAAAGUUAAUUAAUUGAGUUCAUUCUUUUCUUCUUCUUCUUUUUAAGUAUCUUUAAUUCUUUCUUUUCUGCACGCCCAGCUUAACAUGUUUAGUACAUCGAGCAAACCUCUUAAGUGUUUUAGAACAUCUGUUAUCCUUCCAUGGGCAAUUUGAUUGAGAUGGCUGCCAUUCUGCAAACACGUAGAUCUCAUACUACAACCUCAUAUAUUGGAACACAGAACUAGGGUCCAGUCAGUGGCCAAUCCAGAAACUAACAAACUAACUCUAAUAGUAUCAUAUAAGAGAGGCUAAUAAACAUAUAUAUGCUGAUUAUUAUUACAGUCCUGACUCAUGAAAAUUGUAAUCAAACAUUAGAUAUAUGACUAUUAAACUCUAUUCCAAAUAUAUAACCUUUAAAAUUCACAGAAAUGUGAAAAGACAAAGGCCAACUAAUGUCUAGGCAGCAGAGGAAUGCUCUAUUAGGAGCUGAUAUGUUCCUUCCUAAUUUGGGAAAAAAGCAAGAAAAGCUCUUCACAGCCUUCAAGAAACCUAUAAGCUUGAAAAGAUUUCACUAGUUACUUUAACGUCUUCCAGAUCUGACAUCCAAGAGUAGUUUUGUUUGGUGUGGUUUACAGCAACAGCAGCUAAUUAUGGACAGAAGUAUCAGCAGACAAAGAACAAGAGCUCAUACAUCUGAAGCCACCGACUACAUAAGCCGACUACCAGAUGUAAUUCUAGUCUAUAUACUUUCAUUCCUCCCUCUGAAAGACUGCAUCAAAAUAAGUGCCCUAUCCAAAAGAUGGAAGUACCUUUGGACAAAGACUUCUCGACUAAAUAUAAACGAAAUAGAGAUCAUUGCUAAGCUAGUGAGAAGCAAUUUCUACUGCACCAUCUGUGAGGACAUUUGGACUUCUUCUACUACUUGUUGCCAGAAGCAUUUGCUUAAGGUAGCAAGGAGCAUGUUUGCAGAUGUUGUAGACCGAACUCUCCUACUACACUCAGGCUGCACCCUGGACAAAUUCCAAUUGUCUUUCCUUUAUGAUGUCUAUGAUGGAUUGACAGAAAAGGUUGAUAUCUGGGUUAGGUAUGCUUGGGCAUCCAACAUCAAAGAUAUGGAGUUGAGCUUCUUUAAUCCAGGUCUGUUGGAAUACUUCGAUGAGAGGGUACCUGUUCGCGUAGGUGUCGACCUUAAUUUACUAUAUGAACUGCCUCAUAACUGUUUGGUAUCAAAGAUUCUAAGCAGUUUGAACAUGAACUGCUGCAAGCUAAGAGCAUCUGCUUUAAAAGUUUUUCCUUCUCUUCGAAGGAUAUUCCUAAAGCAGGUUGUCAUCCUUGAUUCUUCAGUUAGAGUUCUGGCAUCAAAAUUUCCUCUUCUAGAAGAUCUGAGCCUGGAAAAUUGUGUCAUCUCCAUACAAUUUUUUGUAUGUGAUGAAGACUUGAUGAUUAAAAGACUUUAUGUGACCAACUGCAAGCCCAAUGAGAUCCCCACCUUCGAGAUUAACAUAUCAACUCCGCGCCUAGUACUACUGGUGUUACAUGGAGUCUAUGUCAAAUUGACUUCUAUGAGGAAAGUGACACAACUGGUUGACGUUACAAUCGACAUCAGAUGUUUGCUUGUCAGCAAAGAACAAGCAGGUCUUACUUCAUUGCUGAGUGGAUUACGCCACUCCCAGAAUCUGACAUUAACAUCAUGGUGCAUUCAGGUAGCUUUUCUCUAUUCCUCUUGCUUGCAAAUUUUGAGCCAAAUACACUCAUUGUCACAUAUCAGUCUGUGGUCAUCAGGCUCUGCCUGCAGAUGAAAAUCUGACAGAUCAAGCGAGAUUCCGACUUCAAGAGGUGGUGCAACUAACUUUAGCGCUGUGCUUAGUAAAGCAUGAUCUUCCGAGGGUGGCCUGCCUCCUAAGGAGCUGUCCAAAUCUGAAAUAGCUGACUCUAACAUUGCAAGGAAAUGCUAGGGCAUAUAACAUGGUAUCAGAAAAAAGAAUCUUACAAGGAAAUAUUAUGAUAUUUUCUGCUCUAUCAGGAGCAUCUAACAUGUGAUCUUACUGUUUUCUUUAGGGUAAUUUCUUCCGUAAUGGUGGUCCAGACAUUUCAGACUGUGAUCCAGAGCACUACUUUCAAUCUGAAUGUUUGCCAUUCCCUUGUCUGGAAAACAGUCUCGAGAAAAUUACAGUUAAUGGGUUUGCUGGAAGAAAGAAUGAGAUGAACGUUGUCCGUUUUCUGCUGAGAAACGCAAGAGUCUUGGAGGAAAUUUCCAUCUUUUAUGAAGACGCAGAGGAGUAUUAUAGAGGAGCAAUGGGACUGUGGAGGCAAAAUGGGCAAUUCCAUCAAAUAUUUUGUGAGCUGCUAAGGUGUCAGAGGGUAUCGGCUCGAGCUGAGGUGAUAUUUUCAAGCCCCCCAAGCGAAUAUGUUAAUUAUGAAGGGUCCUACUAUCUGGUUCAGUAGUUAUGUCUAUGCUGUUCCUAAGUUCUCCCUUUCACAUCGUGCUGAGGAAGGCAUACGUUUUAUAUGGCAGAUCUCUUAUGUUUGGUACCAACUUGUUUGCAGUACUUAUAAAUAAAUACCGCUCAUGUGAUUAUGACGUCCAAUUGUGACAAAAUGACGUGUGGCCUUUUAUCCAUCUAUUCUUGUUAGCUCUAUUGAAUAUCCUCAGCUAUUAUCAGGAGUAAACCAAGCCUCUUGCAACCAAGGACCCAAUUCAUUUUGAGGUAGCUUGACUUCUGGCAAGUAUUUAACAUCCACCUUAGGCCAAACAAAAGAUAUGUACAUGCUACAUGCACACCUACUCAGUCAAGCAGUACAAAUCUUGUUUUAUUUUUACAGGGACGGAACACCUAGCAAACCAUCUAAUAAAAAAGCAUACAAAAAUCAACUUGACUGCCCCUGCAACAUAUUUUCAGCACCCCUGUGCCUUGUGUUUCUACAUUCUGAACACCGUUACAAUAGUUGAGAAUGAGUAGUUCUAGUCUAGAUGGAAUCCAUGAAGUGAAUAUGACAUGACAGAUUAAACAGAAUCCCAUAAAACCAUAUCACAUUUAGAGUCCCACAUAUAGCCAAUGCAAUUCAAACAUCAAAGACAUGAUUAACUAUAACAUUGCAAAUUCAAGAAUGCAGCACAUACCAACAACAUUAAGUGAGCAGGCUUCUUUGCCUUGGGUGCAAAAGAGUAAGAGGAUCCAGCCUCACGUGAUUGAUGAGAAAGCGCUCCUGGUUUCCAUAUCAACAGAAAGCAGGUGUAUUACAGAACAAGUAGCGAAAAUCCAGCCCAUGGUGGCGCCAGCGCCUCAAAUAGAGAUGUCCCAUCCAGUAGAGAGAUUGAAACUGGGCUCAGGUUGGAAUGAGAGAGAAAGCUAAGAACCCUGUAUAAAAAGCAAGAGAAUAGAAAAAAUGGAUGGAAAUUGUCAGGUUGGAUCUCAAAUUGGACCCAGUGUUAGAUCUUCUAUGGAACUAACCAUACAGGCAUCGAUUUGUAUUGUAAUCUUGGAAACGUUUACAGCGUGUUCUGUGUUUUGGCUAAGAGUUUGUGCAUAAGGAAUUUGACAUGUGAAGAAAACAACUCUCUCUCUCUCUCUCUCUCUCAAGCAAGUUUGAGAUUGAUUGACCAGAAAGAAUUACUGAAACGGGAGCUAUAUUACUCAAACGGAAAAUGAGCGCAACGAUGCACAAAUCAAUGGAAGAAAAAGUUGCGAAUUGAUGCAGAUAACCCCCAUAGCAACAUCCAGUUUAGCAUCGUAUAUUGUCAAUAUUCCUGGAAAUCUCGGCUAAAGUCUUGAACUUUUCGAGGUUAUUUUCACCCACAAACGGUGUGAACGCGGCAAAAACCAAACUUUAACCGACUUCGAUCCAUAAAAACGCACUGAAAAUAGAUUCGCGGAGAAAAACGCCAUCCGGGUACCUCUCGGGAGAAGUUUCGCAGUCUGGAGCGAAGUUUCUGAAAAGAAAGCGGAGGGGGCGACGAUGGCGAAAUGGCUUUUAGCUAUUGCCGGUGGGGGGGGACCGCUUCACGGUUUUGCAUUUUCUGGAACCCUGCUCCGCGACCGCAGAUCGUCCCGGGACGAUCCCUGCUUUUCUAGAUGACUCUCGUGGGAACACGAUUCUUUUGAGGCGUCCGAUGAUUCGAGCCAGCGGGGAAAUGGUAAGGGAAAUCGAAAGGCGAGAGGAAUGCGUCCCGCCAUGCUACGCGCGCUUUCUUUUUGCUUUGUCGCGGACCAUUUCUCUACUACCACCAACGCCAACACACUCAAAACCGAAUGUGAUCUUCUUUUCAUCGUGUUGUUGUCGUUGUCUGAUAAUUGCCACCACCUUCUCUUUUACUGCAGAUUUUUUUAUACAUAAAAAAGUGUACGAUCAACGAUAUUGAACAAUCAAUUGAUGCAUAUGAACAAAAAUCGGGUGUUGUACGGUCUUUUCUACUUUUGCGGGUACUGAUAAAUCUUAAAAAUUCAUAGAUUACCCACUCUUGGACCCUAUCGCCUCUCGGACAGCUGG
RNAcentral lists this long non-coding RNA (5900 nucleotides) under Eucalyptus grandis. RNAcentral's name for it is "long non-coding RNA (EGRA_LNC003834)". Lineage: Eukaryota; Viridiplantae; Streptophyta; Magnoliopsida; Myrtales; Myrtaceae. The record is from RNAcentral.